RNAcentral lists this non-coding RNA (127 nucleotides) under Gongylonema pulchrum. RNAcentral describes it as "Eukaryotic small subunit ribosomal RNA". It matches the Rfam family "Eukaryotic small subunit ribosomal RNA", at positions 1181 to 1449 of the family's 1831-position model. Lineage: Eukaryota; Metazoa; Nematoda; Chromadorea; Rhabditida; Gongylonematidae. The record is from Rfam by way of RNAcentral.
GCCUGCGGCUUAAUUUGACUCAACAUGGAAAAACUCACCUGUCUGGACACUGUGAGGAUUGACAGAUUGAGAGCUCUUUCUUGAUUCGGUUUGAGAAAAUACCUGAAUAAUUGGCCAACGCACGGGC